RNAcentral lists this ribosomal RNA (433 nucleotides) under uncultured bacterium. RNAcentral describes it as "partial 16S ribosomal RNA". It matches the Rfam family "Bacterial small subunit ribosomal RNA", at positions 29 to 507 of the family's 1533-position model. The record is from RNAcentral.
AACGAACGCUGGCGGCAUGCCUAACACAUGCAAGUCGAACGAGACCUUCGGGUCUAGUGGCGCACGGGUGCGUAACGCGUGGGAACCUGCCCUUAGGGUCGGAAUAACUCCCCGAAAGGGGUGCUAAUACCGGAUAAUGUCUUCGGACCAAAGAUUUAUCGCCUUUGGAUGUUCCCGCGUUGGAUUAGCUAGUUGGUAGGGUAAAAGCCUACCAAGGCGACGAUCCAUAGCUGGUCUGAGAGGAUGAUCAGCCACACUGGGACUGAGACACGGCCCAGACUCCUACGGGAGGCAGCAGUGGGGAAUAUUGGACCAUGGGCGAAAGCAUGAUCCAGCAAUGCCGCGUGAGUGAUGAAGGCCUUAGGGUUGUAAAGCUCUUUUACCCGGGAUGAUAAUGACAGUACCGGGAGAAUAAGCUCCGGCUAACUCCGUG